AGGCUCGAUUGACGGAGGUAUAGAGGCAGACUGUCGAGGAUCGACAGCGGACUGAGCAGCGAACUCAAGAGUUGAGUGCAUGCGUCGACGAGUAUCAGCAGCUUCAGAUCCAGAUGAUGGAGUGGAUGGCACAGAUAGAACAGACGAUACAGCUGAUGAGGCAGCAGGAAGCCGGUCCGAGUUCUUUCGAGUGCUCUCUUUCCCCAGCUCG
RNAcentral lists this long non-coding RNA (211 nucleotides) under Elaeis guineensis (African oil palm). Its description in RNAcentral is "long non-coding RNA (EGUI_LNC075574)". The record is from RNAcentral. Lineage: Eukaryota; Viridiplantae; Streptophyta; Magnoliopsida; Arecales; Arecaceae.